This 272-nucleotide small RNA is filed under the name insect gut metagenome. Its description in RNAcentral is "5' ureB small RNA". It matches the Rfam family "5' ureB small RNA". The record is from RNAcentral.
CUGUUGAGGAGAAAUAAGAUGAACGUGACUAUCAAUACCGCCGGCAGUAAUAAUUAACCCUUCGGCUGAAACAACUUCUGUCGCUGGACCAAUUGGUAGUGUCACAUUUGGUUGAAUAUCCGGAUUUCCCGCUUUACCAAUACCACUAAUUCGCCCAUGCUUUACUGAAAUAUCCGCUUUAAUGAUCCCCCAAUGAUCAAUAAUUAAAACAUUAGAAAUGACUAAAUCUGCAACUUUAGCAUCACUUAACUGGCUUUGCCCCAUACCAUCAC